Molecule: non-coding RNA, 81 nt
Organism: Phacochoerus africanus (Common warthog)
Lineage: Eukaryota; Metazoa; Chordata; Mammalia; Artiodactyla; Suidae
Product: small Cajal body-specific RNA 18
Exons: 1
Source: RefSeq, a predicted model, not a curated record
UGGUCGAUAAUUAUGUGAAAACUGCAAUCCGAGUUCUGGGAACCAGAUGCUGGAGUGUGUGCUGACAACAGACUGAGACCA